Long non-coding RNA from Gigantopelta aegis, 1285 nucleotides. RefSeq lists it as uncharacterized. NCBI's taxonomy places the organism in Eukaryota, Metazoa, Mollusca, Gastropoda, Neomphalida, Peltospiridae. The record is from RefSeq and is a predicted model, not a curated record. The transcript has 5 exons.
UAAUUCGCAGAAUGUGGAAUUGUAGGGGUUGAAGAGGGCAUCAGAGCAGUUUGGCUGUCAUGUACUAGAAUUGGUCACUGAUCGCCAUGUCCAGGUGAAAAAGUACAUAAGAGAAGGCCAAACGAUGCAUUAUUUUGAUGUUUAGCACAUGGCUAAAGGUGUUCGGAAGAAACUUGAAGCUGCCUCUAAAAAGAAACGUUGUCUAGAUAUUGUGCCAUGAAUCAAUUCCAUUUCCAGUCAUAUGUAUUGUGUAUCGGGAACAAGCGGCGAUGACAAAGACCUGAAGCUGGCGAAAUGAAGGUCAGCUUCUAACCAUGUUAUCAAUGUUCACAUCAGCCAUGGAGUGAACUUUGCUGCCUGUGAACACGAAGCCUGUAACAUUGAGAGAGUGUGGCUCACAGCGGGAUCUAGAUCCCAAAAGUUGGUGAAGGCUAUCGUCAACAGCCCAUAUCUCAUAAAGGACAUCCCACAUCUAUCCAAACUGCACCAGACGUCAUUCCUAGAGGUGUACCACCAUGUUGUAAACCAUUUCGCCCCAAAAAGUACCCAUGUCUUCAUUUCUGCUAUUUAAGCUAGACUGCAUCUUGCUGCUUUCCAUUAUAACGGAAAUGGAAAUAAAGCUCAAGCCAUAGCACUCCGUGUUGGCGAUUGGUUUAUCAAAAAGCAAAGAAAAGGAUGCAGUCAUGAAAGCUGUGAAGGAAAUCUCUAGCUUCAAGUAUGUGCACACACUGAUGGAAUACUUAAUGCAAAGACGAUACCAGCUGGAUAAUUACUGAGUUGCAAGAAUAGAUGCCAUACAGGCAGUGUUAAGCAUGCCUGGAUUCUUAACAAAUGACUAUCACAGGGUGGAGAAAACAGAAGCUCACGAUUCAGUGCUAUUUGAUAAGGUGUAUAUGUGAUGAAUAUCAAGUGAUGACAAAAAAGAAAAGAAGAUGUUACAGUGUUAUGAAAAAUUUUAUUAAUUUAUUUAUGGUCUAGCAUAUUGAAAGCCAGUAAAUUUCCGAUGGGAAACUGUCUCUAAUCUUCACAACUCAUACAGGAAGCACACGGCGAUUUCUUUGACCAAUCCAUCUCGCAAAUCGUCUAUAAGCAAUAUAUCUGUAUGUCCUGUAAAGGAAGAAAGAGUGAAGAAAUUAAAAAUAUUCAAUGCAUCGACGUAUUUUAUGGACACGUUACUGUUCCAGUGUGUUUCCAUCAAAUGAUUUUGUUGUUAAUUAUCUUUAGAAACCCUAAAACAUGACCAUGUUUAAUUGUUUAUUAAAUAAAGGUCAUUUUGUGAGAGUUA